This 24-nucleotide non-coding RNA is filed under the name Cricetulus griseus (Chinese hamster). Lineage: Eukaryota; Metazoa; Chordata; Mammalia; Rodentia; Cricetidae. The record is from RNAcentral.
GUGUGUGUGCGCAGGCGAGUGGAG